GGGUAACUCGACGUCUGGUGAGCUAGGGUCGUCAGUGCUCGAGGCGCCAGAUCCCUUACUCUCCAGCGAUGUGAUGUGAUGGCCGCCGGCCAUCUUGCUCAGCCCGUUCGUUCAACAGUUAUAAGGCGCGUUGGUGUCUCCGAUGUGCUGCUCAUGAUGCCACUGAAAGCUUCGUUUCCUUUGUCGGAAAUUUGGUCGGCUUCAUAGCGAUGGCUCCGAUCGUCGACAAUGAGGAUGACCUGGAGAAUCUUGCAAGGACCUGGAUGUAAUUUGUUUCUCUUUCAGAGUUGUCUUUGUAAGAUGGGAUGUAAACUAUCAGUUUUUACGUGAAUGAUAAACCCGGUUUCAAAAAAAAA
This 356-nucleotide long non-coding RNA is filed under the name Panicum hallii. RNAcentral describes it as "long non-coding RNA (PHAL_LNC000939)". The record is from RNAcentral. Lineage: Eukaryota; Viridiplantae; Streptophyta; Magnoliopsida; Poales; Poaceae.